AACGAACGCUGGCGGCGUGGAUAAGACAUGCAAGUCGAACGGGACUUUUUCUGGUAGCAAUACCGGAAAAAGUCUAGUGGCGAACGGGUGCGUAACACGUGGACAAUCUGCCUUAAAGUGGGGGAUAGCUCGGCGAAAGCCGAAUUAAUACCGCAUGUGAUGAGGGAAGACAUCUUUCCGAAAUCAAAGCCGGGGCAACCUGGCGUCUUUUUGAGGAGUCCGCGGCCUAUCAGCNGUUGGUGAGGUAACGGCUCACCAAGGCUAUGACGGGUAGCUGGUCUGAGAGGACGACCAGUCACACUGGAACUGAGACA
This 314-nucleotide ribosomal RNA is filed under the name uncultured bacterium. RNAcentral describes it as "bacterial SSU rRNA". It matches the Rfam family "Bacterial small subunit ribosomal RNA", at positions 29 to 326 of the family's 1533-position model. The record is from RNAcentral.